This is a long non-coding RNA of Oxyura jamaicensis (ruddy duck), 604 nucleotides long. RefSeq lists it as uncharacterized. Lineage: Eukaryota; Metazoa; Chordata; Aves; Anseriformes; Anatidae. The record is from RefSeq and is a predicted model, not a curated record. The transcript has 4 exons.
CUGCAUGUCUCAGUAUUCAGGCAGUGCCUGGGACCUCUUCACGAAGCUAGAGCUGACAGUCAUCCCUUCUACAGAAGGAGUGUUGUUGUUGAUGAGUUAUAUCUCCACGUUGAGUUACAGAAGGAAGUUAGCAGGCUGCAUGGCAUUCAUGAAGAUGAGCAAGAGAGAGAGAUAAGACAUUCUCAGAGACCCUACAGCUUCAUGAGUCUCAACACCCAAUUGCAGUGGAGAUGCAGAUGAAUGACACUGUUGAGCAAUGAGAUGAACUGUCCACAGUGGUUCCAAAAUCUCUUUCCUAAGCAGCAGUGAUCAGUUUGGAUUCAAUCAGGGUAUACAUGCAGAUGACACCAACAACCCACGGCUACUCCUUUUGUGCUAACAAUUAUUCAUCUGAAUGACAUUUGUGAACAUACAGAGCAAUCUGCACAAGAACAAUGAAAUCUAAAUGCAUACAGCUUGUUUCACCCCAGUUCUUGGAAGCAGCAUGUGCUUUCUCCCCUGCCUGGCUGUACCGAACAAAACUUCAGCAGCAUAGCCCAACUCUCCACCCAGCAAGAAAUGAGUCCUAAGAUUCCCAUGCCUCCAGAAUGGGAGGAUGCAAUAA